Molecule: ribosomal RNA, 301 nt
Filed under: uncultured bacterium
Lineage: Bacteria
Description: partial 16S ribosomal RNA
Rfam family: Bacterial small subunit ribosomal RNA
Source: RNAcentral
CAGUCGCCGCGGUAAUACGUAGGGUGCAAGCGUUAAUCGGAAUUACUGGGCGUAAAGCGUGCGCAGGCGGUUCGUUAAGACAGAUGUGAAAUCCCCGGGCUCAACCUGGGAACUGCAUUUGUGACUGGCAAGCUAGAGUCUGGCAGAGGGGGGUGGGAUUCCGCGUGUAGCAGUGAAAUGCGUAGAUAUGCGGAGGAACACCGAUGGCGAAGGCAGCCCCCUGGGCCAACACUGACGCUCAUGCACGAAAGCGUGGGGAGCAAACAGGAUUAGAUACCCCAGUAGUCCCUGUCUCUUAUAC